RNAcentral lists this ribosomal RNA (416 nucleotides) under uncultured eukaryote. Its description in RNAcentral is "SSU rRNA". It matches the Rfam family "Eukaryotic small subunit ribosomal RNA", at positions 567 to 990 of the family's 1831-position model. The record is from RNAcentral.
CGAGCACCUGCGGUAAUUCCGGCUCCAAGAGCGUAUGUUUAAGUUUUUGCAGUUAAAAAGCUCGUAGUUGGAUUUCGGGCGGGUGACGGCGGUCCGGCUCUGGUGUGCACUGCUGCUCAUCCGCCUUACUGUCGGGGACGGGCUCCUGGGCUUCACUGUCCGGGACCCGGGUUCGACAUGGUUACUUUGCGUAAAUUAGAGUGUUCAAAGCGGCGUUCGCCCUGAAUACAUUAGCAUGGAAUAGCACGAUAGGACUCUGGCCUAUUCUGCUGGUCUGUAGGACCGGAGUAAUGAUUAAGAGGGACAGUCGGGGGCAUUCGUAUUUCAUUGUCAGAGGUGAAAUUCUUGGAUUUAUGAAAGACGAACUUCUGCGAAAGCAUUUGCCAAGGAUGUUUUCAUUGAUCAAGAACGAAAGU